AUUCCAGCUCCAAUAGCGUAUAUUAAAGUUGUUGCAGUUAAAAAGCUCGUAGUUGAAUUUCUGUACAGUCCCGGUUCUGGCUUCGGUCAAGCCGUGGAUUGUGCAUCCGCUUGCAAAUCUAGCUCGGCCUUCACUGGUCGACUAGGGGAGUAAGCCCUUUACUUUGAAAAAAUUAGAGUGUUUCAGGCAGGCAAUGGCUCGAAUACAUUAGCAUGGAAUAAUGGAAUAGGACUUUUGUCCAUUUGGUUGGUUAUUGGACAUGAGUAAUGAUUAAAAGGGACAGUUGGGGGUAUUAGUAUUUAAUAGUCAGAGGUGAAAUUCUUGGAUUUAUUAAAGACUAACUUAUGCGAAAGCAUUUGCCAAGGAUGUUUUCAUCA
This 377-nucleotide ribosomal RNA is filed under the name Parauronema sp. Its description in RNAcentral is "partial small subunit ribosomal RNA". It matches the Rfam family "Eukaryotic small subunit ribosomal RNA", at positions 582 to 975 of the family's 1831-position model. Lineage: Eukaryota; Ciliophora; Oligohymenophorea; Philasterida; Philasteridae. The record is from RNAcentral.